RNAcentral lists this ribosomal RNA (254 nucleotides) under uncultured bacterium. RNAcentral's name for it is "partial 16S ribosomal RNA". It matches the Rfam family "Bacterial small subunit ribosomal RNA", at positions 524 to 776 of the family's 1533-position model. The record is from RNAcentral.
UACGGGGGGAGCAAGCGUUGUUCGGAUUUACUGGGCGUAAAGGGCGCGUAGGCGGCCACCGCAAGUCGACUGUGAAAUCUCCGGGCUUAACCCGGAAAGGUCAGCCGAUACUGCGGGGCUAGAGUGCAGAAGGGGCAACUGGAAUUCUCGGUGUAGCGGUGAAAUGCGUAGAUAUCGGGAGGAACAUCCGUGGCGAAGGCGGCUACCUGGACCAGCACUGACACUGAGGCACGAAAGCGUGGGGAGCAAACAGG